GAGACAAGCAUAUGAUUACUGUCAGGAUCAACCAGGUAGCAUUCCACAUCGACUUUCGAUACUGCAUGGAAAAACCAAUACAAUACCAAUUGUCGUUCUUAAAUUGGGUGGGACGCAAUUAAGGGGCAAAUAGAGAUCGAUGGUUCCUCAUACCCACAUGGUACUCCACGACCAAGAAUACAAACAAGUUGUCAUUGAUCCAAAAACCCAAUGACAUCAAAGUCAUGGGCAUUGGGGCAUGACAAUUGCUAUGAUGUUCACCUCACGUCACAAACACAAAGGCUCGUAACGAAAGAUAAAUUAUACUUCAUCCAACCAAUUCCAUCUCUUGUGGCAUAAGUCACAGGAAACAUAGCUCGACCAAGAUAGCUUACUAUUCUUGAACAAAACACUGAAAAGGCAUAUCGGAUACAUUUUCGUUGUGCGAGCAAAGACUCAAUAUACCCAUACACACCGA
This 457-nucleotide unclassified non-coding RNA is filed under the name Didymocarpus aromaticus. Its description in RNAcentral is "partial external transcribed spacer". The record is from RNAcentral. Lineage: Eukaryota; Viridiplantae; Streptophyta; Magnoliopsida; Lamiales; Gesneriaceae.